AGAGUUUGAUCCUGGCUCAGGACGAACGCUGGCGGCGUGCUUAACACAUGCAAGUCAGGGGGCCCAGCGAUGGGUCACCGGCGAACGGGUGCGUAACACGUGAGCGACCUGCCCUGGUGUGGGGGAUAGCCGGCCCAACGGCCGGGUAAUACCGCAUACGGCACUCGGCCCGCAUGAGCCGGGUGCGAAACUAUUUAGGCGCCAGGAGGGGCUCGCGGCCUAUCAGCUAGUUGGCGGGGUAACGGCCCACCAAGGCGAUGACGGGUAGCUGGUCUGAGAGGAUGGCCAGCCACAUUGGGACUGAGAGACGGCCCAGACUCCUACGGGAGGCAGCAGUGGGGAAUCUUGCGCAAUGGCCGAAAGGCUGACGCAGCGACGCCGCGUGAGGGAUGACGGCCUUCGGGUUGUAAACCUCUGUUGCCCGGGACGAACACCUGGUUUCGACCAGGCUGACGGUACCGGGUGAGGAAGCACCGGCUAACUCUGUGCCAGCAGCCGCGGUAAUACAGAGGGUGCGAGCGUUGUCCGGAAUCACUGGGCGUAAAGGGCGCGUAGGCGGUCUCUUAAGCGUGUGGUGAAAGCCCGGGGCUCAACUCCGGGUCGGCCGUGCGAACUGGGGGACUGGAGCUUGUCAGAGGCAGGCGGAAUUCCGGGUGUAGCGGUGGAAUGCGUAGAGAUCCGGAAGAACACCGGUGGCGAAGGCGGCCUGCUGGGACAGUGCUGACGCUGA
RNAcentral lists this ribosomal RNA (730 nucleotides) under uncultured bacterium. RNAcentral's name for it is "bacterial SSU rRNA". It matches the Rfam family "Bacterial small subunit ribosomal RNA", at positions 8 to 749 of the family's 1533-position model. The record is from RNAcentral.